RNAcentral lists this ribosomal RNA (97 nucleotides) under uncultured eukaryote. RNAcentral describes it as "partial small subunit ribosomal RNA". It matches the Rfam family "Eukaryotic small subunit ribosomal RNA", at positions 894 to 990 of the family's 1831-position model. The record is from RNAcentral.
GUAUUUAUUAGCUAGAGGUGGAAUUCUCUAAUUUGAUAAAGACUAACUUAUGCGAAAGCAUUUGCCAAGGAUGUUUUCAUUAAUCAAGAACGAAAGU